This 73-nucleotide transfer RNA is filed under the name Stegodyphus mimosarum. It matches the Rfam family "tRNA". Rfam says of the family: Transfer RNA (tRNA) molecules are approximately 80 nucleotides in length. Their secondary structure includes four short double-helical elements and three loops (D, anti-codon, and T loops). Further hydrogen bonds mediate the characteristic L-shaped molecular structure. tRNAs have two regions of fundamental functional importance: the anti-codon, which is responsible for specific mRNA codon recognition, and the 3' end, to which the tRNAs corresponding amino acid is attached (by aminoacyl-tRNA synthetases). tRNAs cope with the degeneracy of the genetic code in two manners: having more than one tRNA (with a specific anti-codon) for a particular amino acid; and 'wobble' base-pairing, i.e. permitting non-standard base-pairing at the 3rd anti-codon position. The record is from Rfam by way of RNAcentral. Lineage: Eukaryota; Metazoa; Arthropoda; Arachnida; Araneae; Eresidae.
GCCUUCGUAGUGUAGUGGUCAGCAUGCUGAACGCGUAACCGUGAGAUCCAUGGUUCGAUUCCCAGCGAAGGCG